This 253-nucleotide ribosomal RNA is filed under the name uncultured bacterium. Its description in RNAcentral is "partial 16S ribosomal RNA". It matches the Rfam family "Bacterial small subunit ribosomal RNA", at positions 524 to 776 of the family's 1533-position model. The record is from RNAcentral.
UACGUAGGGUGCGAGCGUUGUCCGGAAUUACUGGGCGUAAAGGGCGCGUAGGCGGUCCUGAUCGUCGGAUGUGAAAGGCCUGGGCUCAACCUGGGAAUGGCAUCCGAUACGGCGGGACUGGAGUGUGGGAGAGGUUGGUGGAAUUCCCAGUGUAGAGGUGAAAUUCGUAGAUAUUGGGAAGAACACCGGUGGCGAAGGCGGCCAACUGGACCACAACUGACGCUGAGGCGCGAAAGCGUGGGGAGCAAACAGG